AUACGUAGGGGGCGAGCGUUAUCCGGAAUUAUUGGGCGUAAAGAGUACGUAGGCGGGAGAUUAAGCGCAGGGUUUAAGGCAAUGGCUUAACCACUGUAUGCCCUGUGAACUGAUCUUCUUGAGUGCAGGAGGGGAAAGCGGAAUUCCUAGUGUAGCGGUGAAAUGCGUAGAUAUUAGGAGGAACACCAGUGGCGAAGGCGGCUGUCUGGACUGUAACUGACGCUGAGGUACGAAAGUGUGGGGAGCGAACAGGAUUAGAUACCCUGGUAGUCCACACCGUAAACGAUGAUGACUAACCGUCGGCGAUAGACAGCCGGUGGCCAAGCGAAAGCGAUAAGUCAUCCACCUGGGGAGUACGUCGGCAACGAUGAAACUCAAAUGAAUUGACGGGG
This 392-nucleotide ribosomal RNA is filed under the name uncultured bacterium. RNAcentral's name for it is "partial 16S ribosomal RNA". It matches the Rfam family "Bacterial small subunit ribosomal RNA", at positions 523 to 918 of the family's 1533-position model. The record is from RNAcentral.